Molecule: long non-coding RNA, 217 nt
Filed under: Amborella trichopoda
Lineage: Eukaryota; Viridiplantae; Streptophyta; Magnoliopsida; Amborellales; Amborellaceae
Description: long non-coding RNA (ATRI_LNC000181)
Source: RNAcentral
UCACUAAUUGAUUAAUCUGACAAAGGAGAUGGAUUAUCAGAAUUGAAGAUGCAGAAUCAAAUAAAUAGGUUUUUUUUGGCAAUGAAUCUUGCGAUCUUAAAUCCUAUAAAUUUUGUUUUUCUUUUUUGAGAAAUGUGAAUAGGGAGUUGAGGAGCUUUGUGUACGUUAAAGUUUCAGUAACUUGUUGGGUAAAAGAGAAAUUUUUUGAGCAAAUGAG